Molecule: ribosomal RNA, 433 nt
Filed under: uncultured bacterium
Lineage: Bacteria
Description: partial 16S ribosomal RNA
Rfam family: Bacterial small subunit ribosomal RNA
Source: RNAcentral
AGCGAACGCUGGCGGCAGGCCUAACACAUGCAGGUCGAACGGACCCUUCGGGGUUAGUGGCGGACGGGUGAGUAACACGUGGGAACGUGCCUUUAGGUUCGGAAUAGCUCCUGGAAACGGGUGGUAAUGCCGAAUGUGCCCUUCGGGGGAAAGAUUUAUCGCCUUUAGAGCGGCCCGCGUCUGAUUAGCUAGUUGGUGAGGUAACGGCUCACCAAGGCGACGAUCAGUAGCUGGUCUGAGAGGAUGACCAGCCACACUGGGACUGAGACACGGCCCAGACUCCUACGGGAGGCAGCAGUGGGGAAUCUUGCGCAAUGGGCGAAAGCCUGACGCAGCCAUGCCGCGUGAAUGAUGAAGGUCUUAGGAUUGUAAAAUUCUUCCACCGGGGACGAUAAUGACGGUACCCGGAGAAGAAGCCCCGGCUAACUUCGUG